CGCGAAUGGCUCAUUAUAACAGCUAUAAUUUACUUGGUCUUGACACAAUCCUACUUGGAUAACUGUGGUAAUUCUAGAGCUAAUACAUGCAUUAAAGCUCUGACCUCACGGGAAGAGUGCAUUUAUUAGAACAAAACCAAGCGGCUUCGGCUGUUUCUGGUUGACUCAUAGUAACUGAGCUGAUCGCAUGGUCUUGCACCGGCGACGUGUCUUUCAAGUAUCUGCCGUAUCAACUUUCGAUGGUAGUGUAUCUGACUACCAUGGUGAUCACGCGUAACGGAGAAUAAGGGUUCGGCUCCGGAGAGUUCGCCUGAGAAAUCGCGAACACAUCUAAGGAAGGCAGCAGGCGCGAACAUUACCCACUCUCAGCACGAGGAGGUAGUGACGAAAAAUAACGAGACCGUUCUCUUAUGAGGCCGGUCAUCGGAAUGGGUACAAUUUAAACCCUUUAACGAGUAUCUAUGAGAGGGCAAGUCUGGUGCCAGCAGCCGCGGUAAUUCCAGCU
RNAcentral lists this ribosomal RNA (505 nucleotides) under Cervidellus vexilliger. RNAcentral's name for it is "SSU rRNA". It matches the Rfam family "Eukaryotic small subunit ribosomal RNA", at positions 88 to 590 of the family's 1831-position model. Lineage: Eukaryota; Metazoa; Nematoda; Chromadorea; Rhabditida; Cephalobidae. The record is from RNAcentral.